RNAcentral lists this unclassified non-coding RNA (385 nucleotides) under Hevea brasiliensis (rubber tree). Lineage: Eukaryota; Viridiplantae; Streptophyta; Magnoliopsida; Malpighiales; Euphorbiaceae. The record is from RNAcentral.
CCUCAUAAUGAUCGCUCUGCACCUAAAACCAGAAAACAAAGAAGCUUUAACUACACAGAGUGAACUCUUUAUAAUAUUGAAAUAUUCAUUAUACAAAGAUAAUGUUUAGCUUAAUAAAAAGAAAAAAUUUAACAUAGGAAUUUUAAGAAUCCAAACAUUCAUUGUUCACAACAUUGCUAGGAAAUGAAACUUGUAAGAGUUCAUUCCAUUUUUCACUUUGUUGAACUACAAGAAACAAAACUACUAGCACUUUUCUCUUAAACUGAAUUCUCUCAAUUUUAGCUAGAGUUGGGGGAAAAAAAACUGAAUUUUGAAACUUGAUGCAAUGCCGUGUAAAUCAAAUUAAAAUGGGUGACCAGUACACAAAGCAUCCCACACUUGUGGG